Herpailurus yagouaroundi (jaguarundi) is the source of this 400-nucleotide long non-coding RNA. RefSeq lists it as uncharacterized. The record is from RefSeq and is a predicted model, not a curated record. The transcript has 3 exons. NCBI's taxonomy places the organism in Eukaryota, Metazoa, Chordata, Mammalia, Carnivora, Felidae.
AAAAAUGGAAAGCUGUGAGGAAGUAAGGUCAUCACGAGGAGAAAGUCACCGAAGUGCCUCGGCUUCCCUGGAUUCUAGAUGCUACAGCAGUGGAGGAAAAAAAAGUCCUCCAAAGCUAGGACUCGGGACUCUCUUCCUUAUGCUUCCUGCCUAACUGGGGUCGAGGAUCUGGGGCCACCCAGACACAGUAAGACUUUGCUGAGUGAAACCAGAAAAGUCACCGCAUAAGAACAAGGAGAGAGGAGGGGAGUGUUGGCAGAGGAGGCCAAAGGGGGGAAGAGAAGACUUCCUGUAAUCCUUUCCAAUUCAGGAUGGCAAUGACAUGCAUGGAACUUUCUCCAGACAGAGAUAAUCAGGCCUCAGAAGUUCAAUUUCCUUCACUACCUGCCUCUCCCUCUCC